AGAUAAUAGAUACCCGGGUAGUCCACGCCCUAAACGAUGUCUACUAGUUGUCGGGUCUUAAUUGACUUGGUAAACGCAGCUAAACGCGUGAAGUAGACCGCCUGGGGAGUACGGUCGCAAGAUUAAAACUCAAAGGAAUUGACGGGGACCCGCACAAGCGGUGGAUGAUGUGGAUUAAUUCGAUGCAACGCGAAAAACCUUAACCUACCCUUGACAUGUCAGGAACCUCCGAGAGAUUGGAGGGUGCCCGAAAGGGAGCCUGAACACAGGUGCUGCAUGGCUGUCGUCAGCUCGUGUCGUGAGAUGUUGGGUUAAGUCCCGCAACGAGCGCAACCCUUGUCAUUAGUUGCUACGAAAGGGCACUCUAAUGAGACUGCCGGUGACAAACCGGAGGAAGGUGGGGAUGACGUCAAGUCCUCAUGGCCCUUAUGGGUAGGGCUUCACACGUCAUACAAUGGUACAUACAGAGGGCCGCCAACCCGCGAGGGGGAGCUAAUCCCAGAAAGUGUAUCGUAGUCCGGAUCGCAGUCUGCAACUCGACUGC
Molecule: ribosomal RNA, 544 nt
Filed under: uncultured bacterium
Lineage: Bacteria
Description: bacterial SSU rRNA
Rfam family: Bacterial small subunit ribosomal RNA
Source: RNAcentral